This 253-nucleotide ribosomal RNA is filed under the name uncultured bacterium. RNAcentral's name for it is "partial 16S ribosomal RNA". It matches the Rfam family "Bacterial small subunit ribosomal RNA", at positions 524 to 776 of the family's 1533-position model. The record is from RNAcentral.
UACGAAGGGGGCGAGCGUUGUUCGGAUUUACUGGGCGUAAAGGGCGCGCAGGCGGUCUUGAAAGUCAGGCGUGAAAGCCCCGGGCUUAACCUGGGAAUUGCGCUUGAUACUCUGAGACUGGAGUACGGGAGGGGAGAGUGGAAUUCCCAGUGUAGAGGUGAAAUUCGUAGAUAUUGGGAAGAACACCAGUGGCGAAGGCGGCUCUCUGGACCGUAACUGACGCUGAGGCGCGAAAGCGUGGGGAGCAAACAGG